AAAUUUUAAAUGGCCGCAGUAUUUUGACUGUGCAAAGGUAGCAUAAUCAUUAGUUUCUUAAUUAGAAGCUUGUAUGAAAGGUUGAAUGAGAAAGUUGCUGUCUCUAUUUAAAUUUAUUAGAAUUUUAUAUUUAAGUAAAAAAGCUUAAAUACAUAUAGAAGACGAGAAGACCCUAUAGAGUUUUAUAUUAUUAUUAUUUAUAUCUUUUAGUAUUAUAAUUAUAUAAUUAGUUAUAUAUUUGAUUGGGGUGAUUAAAAAAUUUAUUGAACUUUUUUUGUAUUAUUUCAUUAAUUUAUGAAUUAUUGAUCCUUAAUUUAAGAUUAAAAGAAUAAAUUACCUUAGGGAUAACAGCGUAAUUUUUUUUAAGAGUUCUAAUCAAAAAAAAAGUUUGC
RNAcentral lists this ribosomal RNA (392 nucleotides) under Smicronyx fulvus (red sunflower seed weevil). RNAcentral describes it as "partial 16S ribosomal RNA". The record is from RNAcentral. Lineage: Eukaryota; Metazoa; Arthropoda; Insecta; Coleoptera; Curculionidae.